CUAUUUCUGGUGUAAAGAGCAUGUUUGCUUUCCGAGCGGGAGGUUCUAAUUCAUAUUAGGGAAAUAGA
This 68-nucleotide transfer RNA is filed under the name Propeamussium sp. mt1. RNAcentral's name for it is "tRNA-Gly". The record is from RNAcentral. Lineage: Eukaryota; Metazoa; Mollusca; Bivalvia; Pectinida; Propeamussiidae.